AACACUUUCUAGAUGACCGAAGGAAUUUUAGGAAACGGGAUGCAUUUUAUGCAUUUUCUGCAGGGAAAAGGUCAUGUUUGGGUGAGCAGCUCGCACGAAAUACACUCUUCCUGUUCUUCACUUCCCUCCUCCAGAGGUUCUCGUUCUCAGCUCCUGAAGGAUUAGGACCUCACUGUAAGGACCAGGAACAGAUCAAGAUGUCUCAAGAAUCCUCCCAGACCUUUGUGUCAUUACGUCAAGAGAAACGGGAAUCAGAUCUGAACUGAUACUGAGUUCUAUUAAUAGAUGGAUGUUAUGUUAAUACAUGCAGUAAAAUGCAGUCUUUUUGAUUCGGUUCAAUAUGAAAAGAUUUAUUCCACAGCGAUAAAGCAUAUGCAAGGACAUGUGCAUUAUGAAUGUAAUUUUUGUAAAGAUGUUUAGAUUGUAAAAUGUUAAUACAAUUCAAAUGUGAAAAUUAUGCUGUAUAUUGUAGCGUGUAAUCAAUCUAAAAUCUACUUAUUCCCAUAAACCAUUCAACAAAUAAUUAAGAAAUACAAAAAACAUCCAUGAAUCCAGCACAACUAGACAACUAC
This is a long non-coding RNA of Puntigrus tetrazona (Sumatra barb), 572 nucleotides long. RefSeq lists it as uncharacterized. Lineage: Eukaryota; Metazoa; Chordata; Actinopteri; Cypriniformes; Cyprinidae. The transcript is spliced from 3 exons. The record is from RefSeq and is a predicted model, not a curated record.